Molecule: ribosomal RNA, 292 nt
Filed under: uncultured bacterium
Lineage: Bacteria
Description: partial 16S ribosomal RNA
Source: RNAcentral
GGACUACUAGGGUUUCUAAUCCUGUUUGCUCCCCACGCUUUCGUGCUUCAGUGUCAGUGCUGGUCCAGGUAGCCGCCUUCGCCACUGGUGUUCCUCCCGAUCUCUACGCAUUUCACUGCUACACCGGGAAUUCCACUACCCUCUACCGCACUCUAGCUUGCCAGUAUCCACUGCCAUUCCCAGGUUGAGCCCGGGGAUUUCACAGCAGACUUAACAAACCACCUACGCACCCUUUACGCCCAGUAAUUCCGAGUAACGCUUGCACCCUUCGUAUUACCGCGGCGGCUGGCAC